RNAcentral lists this ribosomal RNA (253 nucleotides) under uncultured bacterium. RNAcentral's name for it is "partial 16S ribosomal RNA". It matches the Rfam family "Bacterial small subunit ribosomal RNA", at positions 524 to 776 of the family's 1533-position model. The record is from RNAcentral.
GACGGAAGGUGCAAGCGUUGCUCGGAAUCACUGGGCGUAAAGGGUGCGUAGGCGUCUUGGUAAGUUGGGUGUGAAAGCCCCGGGCUCAGCCCGGGAAGGGCACUCGAAACUGCCGAGCUGGAGUGCCGGAGGGGAGAGUGGAAUUCCUGGUGUAGCGGUGAAAUGCGUAGAUAUCAGGAGGAAUACCGGUGGCGAAGGCGGGUCUCUGGGCCGAUACUGACGCUGAGGAGCGAAAGCGUGGGGAGCGAACAGG